Molecule: long non-coding RNA, 7152 nt
Organism: Rattus norvegicus (Norway rat)
Lineage: Eukaryota; Metazoa; Chordata; Mammalia; Rodentia; Muridae
Source: RefSeq, a predicted model, not a curated record
CCUGGAGCAGAGAUAGAAACAGCUGAAGUGUAGACUCCAGGAGCCCUCAGAGCUUUGUCAUUCCCCAUGUGGAGGACACGGUGAAGGAUAGUAUGAGGAACCGACUACCAGUGUGCUACAGGAGCCGAAUAUUGACUGUGCCUCAGCUUUCAUAUGCCCAGAGUAGGGAUAGGACAGCAUUCCUCAGAGGGCUGUGUUAGUGUUCAAUGGAGUACUCUCUGCAACAGGCUGGUGCUUACAACACACAAUUACCCACAAGUCCUUGCUAUUGUCAAUUCCACUCAGCUAAACCCCUUUGCGAAGGUCCAGCACAGGACACAAUAGAGCCCAGUAGAUCCGUGACUUCAGCUGGAGGAGGAGGAAACAGGAGGCAGUAUCAAAGCAUAAGACCCAAUCUCCCAGCCAAGACCCAAGACCAAUCUGAGGCCAAGACCAGCCUGAGGCCACGAGGCACAGGAAGCAGGAACGGAUGGGCACCGACCCUCCCAGCCCUGUCGGGAUGAGAGCUCACCAGGCUGCCAAAAAUCCUGCUGGCAAAUGGGACUGGGAAGUUGCUCCAAUCACAAUCUGUAGUUCUCCCCACAUCCAUCCAAUGUUUACUGAGUUGUAAACACUUUUGAGGUGCUGGGCAUACAGCAAGGGACAAGGAUCUGCCCUCGUGGCUAAGAGAAACAGGAAAAGCGAGCAGUCUGGAACAUAUCAGUAGACGGGAAGCAGACGAGAAAUGCUGGACCUAGGAGAUGCUCUAGCAGGGUCACCUGUGCAAAGGCUCAGGAGCAGUUUGGAUGCUGGUGUGGCUAGCCAGAGUGGACCAAGGGAGGGGGAAGUGACAUGGUGAGUGCAGUGCCUUCUUAGCUGUCAUGACCUAGGUCCUCAACAGAGGGUUGGAAGGUAGCUCUUAGUUUCACAGACUCCUCCCACAGGAGUCCUCCCGCUGCAUCAAUACUCUAGGGCAGAAGAGUCCAGCUGCCUUAGUCCCAGUGUGAAGAGGAGGCCAACUGCUGCUCCAAGGGGGUCUCCCUUUGAAGGACUUGUUGGGGUGUACUUCAGUAGAAGCCAAAGGUAAUCUAACACUUUUUAUUUGAAGGGAUUGUGGGUAUGAAAGAAAUGCUCAAGCCGGCAUGGGGAGGGAGAACCAUUAUGGCAGUGGGUGCCAGAGGGUUCCAGGACAAGGCCCAUUGGCUGGAAAGGGCAGAGUUAAGGGAGGAGCAAAGGAAGAACAAGUGCAGGCAUGGCAGGAGAGGCCCUGAAGCCAGAUGGGAUCGUAGGGUUCCCUAGCAAUAGAAUAAAACAUGUCAAUGGCUGUCUGUCUGCCUAUCUUUUUUAGAUCAGGUCUCAGGGAGCCUAGGCUGGCCUAGAACUUACUAGAGCUGGGCCUGAACGAUCUACUUUCUCUCCUUUUUCUUUGGUCUUUCCAGACAGGGUUUCUCUGUGUAGCCCUGGCUGUCCUGGAACUCAUCCUGUAGACCAGGCUAACCUUGAACUCAGAGAUCUGCCUGUCUCGGCCUCCAAAGUGCUAGGAUCAAAGGUGUUUGCCACCACCGCUGGGCUAGACGAUCUGUUUGUCAAAAGCGAGCUGCACUUCACAAUUUUAACUCUCAAGCUACAUUUUACAUGUUCAAACAUUCAUGGGCCAAAGGAUCAGCUCUUAAAUGCUGCAUGCGUCCCCUGCCUGUACCAGGCAUUGUCACAGGGGAAUGACAGGCUCAGUGGAGAGUCACAUUCCACACACAUUCCAGGAACCUUCGAGGGCUCUGCCUCCUGUGCAGAGUCUCCUGAAAGUUCCAGGAGGGAAACUAUGACUCGUGUCAUUUCCACAGGUAGACUCCUGAGAUCCAAGUCGUUGCGGUUGCACGGGGGCUGGAGGCAGAGUGCAACCCAGACCUCUUUCCAGGCUGUGCCUCGGCUCCUUUUCUUCUUUUGAGACAGGGUCUCACUAGGUAGCCCAAGCUGGCCUAGAACCCAGAGUGCUGAAAUCGCGGACGCGCCUCGCCACAGUUAGCCAGAGUGCUCUGAUUCAUGAACUGUGCCCUCUGCUUCCCACCUCCAAACCUACAAUGCCAUCUCCCUUCUGGGUCAGAUCCACAAAGGCCAUGGCCUUCCCCUGUGCUUAAACUCCCUCCUUAGAUUGAUUUAUUCUGGGGCUGUGCCCAUUUCCUGCCAAGGCCCAGCUGUAACCUCCACAGCUAUAGCUCCCCUAUAGCUGCAAGAUGGGACACAGGUCUGGUUCUGUACUUAAGUCCCGCUCUGUUCUGGCUGUUCGGAGUGAACAGAACUGACACAGCACUCCUUAGUAUUUUAGUAAGGGAGACACAAAUGACAGGAGUCUCAGGAGAUGGGUACAGAGAACAGAGAAGGGGUACAGAGCAGGGGUGGGUGAAAGCUGUCAUUAUAAAGAGGGCAUCUGGUUCUUGUGCAAAGGACCUGAAGGAAGGAGGGACCAGGGCACUUUGGUGUGAGGAGUCCCAGUGGUAAAAGCAGAAGAAACAAAAUCCCCAGAAGCCCAGGACAGCAAGGAAGCCAGAGUGCUGGCCCUAGUAAACCAGGUAGUGUAGGGAACCAGGUGACAGGGAUCCUAGGGCUGACCAUAGACCAGCUUAAGUUCCCAGAAGUCUUGGGGGCUUGGACGGUGGGGGGCAGGAGGGAGUGUUGAACUCUUUCGGACUUGCUAAUGUCUUCAGUCUCUUCUUGCUCUCAAUCCCAUGGAGCCUACUCAGCCUAUGGGCAACCCUGGGAUACCUCAGUGAUUCUCUGCCUAGGCCUUUGAUAUCUGGUGGUCAGGACCAGUUACCACCUUGUCCCUAUAAACCCAUCCAGGGUAGACAUCCAGAAAAUAUCUCUCAAAACCCUGCUUCUUUCUACCAGAUGCCUGCUGAGACUGGAGGUGGACCAAUGGUAUAUGGCAUACGGUAGCCCCAAGGCCUGGCCCCUGUGCCUUUGGUGGGGUCCCCAGAGAACAGUCAAGUCCCCAGCAGGUGUUUGCUUAGGCCUGCGGAGGUCCGUGGGUUUGCUUUCAGAUAACGCCAGCAGGCUCCAGCCACAGCCCAACUGCAGCCUCUCCCUACGGCAGCCACUGACAGUUUGAUUAGCUGCUUGCUUAUCUUUCCACUUGUCACAUCUAUACCCAGGGCCUUCCAGUUGGACACCACCUUCUUCGUCCAGGUUUUCCCUCAGAGGCUUCUUCCCCUGACUGUCCACCAUCAUGGGACAGGAUGCACACGUGGCACUGACAGCUAUAAUGACCCUCAACCCCUGUGCCACGGGUCUUUACUUAAAUACCACCUGCUUGGAACUUGAUGCCAAACAGCAGCUCUGCCCCAAUAUACCCUUUCCUUCCGCCCAGCUUCACUUCUCCAAGGGCCUUUGUUUUGUGAGAUGUUACGCAAUUCAUUUGAGACCCAUCUCCCUCUUUAGACUGCCAGCCCCACAAGUCCUGGGCAUCUGAAGACUGCUGGUAAAUGGUAGGUACUCAGUAAAUUACUAGCCCAGGCUGUGCUGAGGAGCUGAGGAGUGGUUGCCCGCCUCUAGUCACUCUGUGUCCCCAUCAAUGGGGCAGCAGGUUGCAGAACGGUUAACUUUUAAGAAUAUGGUCUGUUCGCAGCCAGCUCUCAGAGUACUGUCCUUUUGACUGGACCCAUUUGGAAGGGAAAGAACGAACAAACGAACUAGCCCAAGGGUUUGGCCUUUCUCUCUGUGGAUCUGAGGUGCCUCCACAGUCACCUAGAGAAGCAGAGCCUCCCUGGAACUAAGAAAAACUUCAGAAAAGAGGAUCUGAAAAAAAAAACCUCAGAUAAGGCCUCUCAAGUGAUCAGGGCCAAGUGUCACUGUCAGCUGAGCUACCAUCAGCAUGACAACAGGUCUUGUUUCUCUAUGGAAAGAGUAUGGCAUGGGGCGGCUGGGCCCAGAUUUGAAUAUGACUCUGGUCUUGUUAAGGCUGAACAGGUCACACUUCCUGCAGCCUCAGCCUCAGUUUACUCAUCUAUAAAUGGGGCGGUAUGUCACAACACAGGAAGUAACAGCUGCCGCCACAAAGGUUAGGUGGCACAAAUGGGAGACUAGGCCUCCUCUGCUUGUGACCAAGUGCAGGUUGGCUCAGGAAGUCAGGAUAGGGUGCUACACUUGACUACUUACAACCUACUGGCUGACCUCACACAAGUGCAUCCAUCCAAUCAAAAUAAGCGCAGUGGCUAAGUCCGGUCUCAGAUGUCCCCAGAGGGUCCAGCUGGGAGGAGUGGGCUACAGAGAGUUCAAGGUCCCAUAUUCCACAAUCUUUUCCAGACCUUAGGGAAAUGGGAGGAGUGUCGGUCUGCUGGUACAAAUGCUACAGAAGAUGAGGCCUUGACCUCUCUAUCUGGUUUGAAAAGUAACCAUUUAUCUAUGUUUAUCAGCACUUGCUGUGCACCAAAUGUGUCAUUCUGAACCUUUACUGCCACUGCAGCCAAAGCGGUGUGCACUACAGCUAUCCGCACUGCAGAUUCUGGGAGACCGAGGCACACACAGACUAGACAAGUUGGCCAAAGUCUCAGAAUCACUCACUACCCGCCUCCUCCUCCAGGUCACACAUUCCCUGGGUUAUGCCCUAGGCCCGCGCAGGCUCCCCCAGGGCGGCAGGAAGCAACCGAACACCCGGGGGUUAGUGGAGUGGCAGGCCACCAGCGACCGGCUCUCUGAGAUCCAGGGUGGCAGCCCUCCAUCCGCGAUGCCGAAGGCCGGCUACGCUAGCAGGUGCGGGCUGCCCGGACCGGCGCGCUCCGGCGGUGCCAGUCGGGGUUCGGGAGCCCUCCCGCCCGGGGAUCCGUCCGCCCGCAGGUCCCGCCCCGUCCCGCCCGCGCGCGCGCGCAAACAAAGGCAGCGCGGUACCGUUGAGGCGCACGGAGAACUGGCGGCGUUGGCGGUCGUGCUCCACGCGGAUGGGGCCUCCCUGUUCCAGCGCGCUCGGCGGGGUAGCGUGCGCCAUCGCGCGCACCAAGACUGGGGACCGCGGGCCGCAGCGAACUGACUCUUCGGCGGCGCGGGCCGGAGAAGGGGGCGGGGCCGGAAAUCAGCUGUGAGUCACGUGCACGCGCGCACGGUCUGUUUGGAUACAUUCCUGGAGUCUCUUAAAGAGACCGCGCUGCGCGUUUCGCUCGCGGCUUCAACAAUGAUGUGCUGGCCCAUCAAGGGCACCGAUUGUCUUCCUGAAUGCUCCAGAAUGAUCAUUAGGACCCACACGGACCCAUCUGAAAAGCACGCAAUGACCUGUGGGGCAAUUCUGAACUUCCCCGGGACAGCCAUCGAAUUUUAGGCAUUGGCCUCACUGCAAGCCUGAGGCAUAGAUAUGUCAGACCUCUUUUACGCAAGCAUUUGUAAACAAAAGAAGGUGGAGGUGGGUCAUUAUAUGCAAAGUGACUGAGAGGGAUCCUGCAAUCAGAGAGGGCUGUGAGCUCAGCUGAGUCAGGCCUGGAGGCCAUGGUGAACUGGGAAGAUAAAACCUGUGAGUCUCAGGUGACUUCACUUCCAAAGAAUGUCUGUACGCCCUAUAGAAAUCCCUUCUGGAAGCCAGGGAUCCUGCUGGUCUGUAAUCCUAGGACUUGGGAGGGGAAUCUCAGCUACAUCCUCAUAUGAAACCCUGCCCACCCAAACCAAAUCCACAAAGUCCUUUCUGGAAAACAGAAGAACAAUGUGAGCGAUGAAAACAUUUGCUGGAGGCACUGAGUCACUCGGUGCUGGAAGCUUCCCUGUGGCUGUGCCUGCUUAAGUCUCACAAGGACCAGAGGAUGGGCCAGCCAGUGGAUCUGACUUGUUUGGGUGCUCUUGAAUCCACUGAGCAUCUCCUGAGGAGCAGGCACUGUUGUGGGGACACAAAUGAGCAAAGCAGAUGACGUUCCCUGUGCCUUUGGUAUUGCCCCACGGGAAUGCACUUGACGGAUGGAGUUAAUGCUCCUAGAUCCACCUGCUUCUGGGAUCAUGUGUUCCUGGAGGCAAACUGGCUUCAGAUAGGGUGGCCAUGACAGCUUCAGCUGAGAUGGAGUCUUUUUAAAGAGGGCUCAAAAGAAGAAAGGGGUGAGCGAGUUGGGUGGUUAGAAGGAGAGGGGAGAGCAGUCCAGCAGAAAGAAGAGCUAAAGCAAAGUUGAAGAGGAAGCUGCUGACUGCCAUGGGGUCAUCUGGGCAAGGGUCUCUCACACUAGGUGGGGAGGGAGUAGAGGGGGAACGGGAAGAGACCUCUGUGGGGUUUAUGCAUAAUUUCAAGCACAUAUGUAGAUAGAAUAGUAAAGGGAUACAUAUGUAAGAGCUCCUUUGAGCAGGCAUUCCACGAGACACUGAACCACCACCACCAGGCCUCCGUCUAAAACAAUGUCCACCUGACGUUUCUUUCAACCCCUCCCCCACCUACCUGACCAGUUUUUGGUCCCUGUGCUUUUGCCUUUGCCGCAGAGUGUCACACACCAGGACCCUUGCCACCUGUGGCCUUUUGCUCCCCACCCCCACCCCAUUCUGAGGCCCCUGCGGUUGGCUGGUCCACUGGGUCACUCGGCACCGGUCCCUUCACUGCUACAUAAGAACCGGGAAGUGAUGCUUAGUACUAAGUGAUGCUCAGUACUCCUCUGCCAACUGCACAGGGGUGGGCCAGAAGUAAACAGGGAUUAGGGACCCUGCACUGGUCCCAAGGACGGUGACAACAUGGCUGUUGUUCCUGGUCCUAAGCUCUGCCCCCAGAUCCCCAUGACUAGGAGGUGUCCAUGGAGCUACCUGAACAUUGUGGACACUUUGACCCUUUGUUCCACUGCAGCCAUCCAGAGAAGAAGUGAAGACAUUCUAAAGGCACUGUUGUGUCUCUCCAAAAGACAGACUGUUGAAACAAUAGACCCCGAGGAAGUAGGAAUUUCCCCAGGAAUUUCCUGCCGGGAGAAGGAAAAGGCUCGAGCCACAGGGAACUUGCCAGCUGUCAGAACACUGCAGAUGGAGACUGAAGCCCAGACAAUGACGGUCUACAGUAAGCAGGGAAGCAGGACCACACCUUGUCUGGCACUGCUUGGAUGCGCUCAUCCUUGGCCCUCAAUUUAAACUUUGAUCCCACUAAGAUCCUGAAGGCUUAAGGGUUUGCUGGAGCUCUUUAUCACGGUGCCACAUUGAAUAAAUCCUUUUUUUUCCUCCUCUGAUUUGUACUUUUAA